AACGCGAAGAACCUUACCUGGGCUUGAACCGCACAGGACCCUCCCUAGAAAUAGGGACUUCCCGCAAGGGACCUGUGUAGAGGUGCUGCAUGGCUGUCGUCAGCUCGUGCCGUGAGGUGUUGGGUUAAGUCCCGCAACGAGCGCAACCCUUACUCAUAGUUGCCACCCGCAAGGGGGAACUCUAAGAGGACUGCUCCGGAUAACGGAGAGGAAGGUGGGGAUGACGUCAAGUCAGCACGGCCUUUAUGUCCAGGGCUACACACGUGUUACAAUGCAUGGUACAAACCGUCGCGAACCUGCGAAGGGGAGCUAAUCGGAAAAAACCAUGCUCAGUUCGGAUUGCAGUCUGCAACUCGACUGCAUGAAGCCGGAAUCGCUAGUAAUGGCGUAUCAGAACGACGCCGUGAAUACGUUCCCGGGCUUGUACACACCGCUAGUC
Molecule: ribosomal RNA, 439 nt
Filed under: uncultured bacterium
Lineage: Bacteria
Description: bacterial SSU rRNA
Rfam family: Bacterial small subunit ribosomal RNA
Source: RNAcentral